RNAcentral lists this unclassified non-coding RNA (226 nucleotides) under Hevea brasiliensis (rubber tree). The record is from RNAcentral. Lineage: Eukaryota; Viridiplantae; Streptophyta; Magnoliopsida; Malpighiales; Euphorbiaceae.
GCAUUUUGCAGCAAAGAUUGCCUGAAUAUGCAAUAUAGACAUGAGAUAUACAAGGAAGAAUUAUCUUAAUAACUUAACAGAAUCCGUGAAUGAGGUGUAUCUUUUCAUUGAAUUAUUAUCUUUUGCAAGAAACACAUAAACAGCAACUGUAGUUUGACUGGGUAUUUGGGUCCACUAAAAUCCCAAACGAAAACAAGAGGUUACUACCAAUCAAAUUUACACUGUA